Salvia hispanica is the source of this 305-nucleotide long non-coding RNA. RefSeq lists it as uncharacterized. Lineage: Eukaryota; Viridiplantae; Streptophyta; Magnoliopsida; Lamiales; Lamiaceae. The record is from RefSeq and is a predicted model, not a curated record.
UUGCGACUUUUUCUUCAAGUUCCUCUCUCUGUUUCCGCGGUUUAUAUCCUUCACGAUCUUAAGAACGCUGUCCACUUGAUCCCCCACCGCUGCACACAUCAUAAUACUUGAUCGAUGUGAUUGCAGAAGGACUUGGAUCUCCAUUGUUGCUUUGCCAUCUCUGCCACACCCCUGAAUUCUAAAGAAGGUUCGGGGACUGGCAUCCGAAGGCAGUGCAGUCGGCCUAGCAGCAAGUCUUGAAGGGCGUGCAUUGGGAUUCAUGGGCGAUGACAUCGUGUUGUAAGCAGAUGGAUGGAUUGGCGAAG